This is a non-coding RNA of Bacillus glycinifermentans, 114 nucleotides long. Lineage: Bacteria; Bacillati; Bacillota; Bacilli; Caryophanales; Bacillaceae. The record is from Rfam.
AAGACCUUUUAAAUGAAGUCCAGAGAGGCUUGAAAGGGUUGUUGAAAGGGAAGUGCAUAAGCGCAUUCUCUGAUUCACUAUACCCCAAGCCAUUCGGUUUGGGGUUUUUUUAUA